UACGUAGGGUGCGAGCGUUGUCCGGAAUUAUUGGGCGUAAAGGGCUCGUAGGCGGUCUGUUGCGUCAGGAGUGAAAACUCGGGGCUUAACCCCGAGCCUGCUUCUGAUACGGGCAGACUAGAGGUAUGCAGGGGAGAACGGAAUUCCUGGUGUAGCGGUGAAAUGCGCAGAUAUCAGGAGGAACACCAGUGGCGAAGGCGGCUCACUGGACCGGUACUGACGCUGAGGCGCGAAAGCGUGGGGAGCAAACAGG
Molecule: ribosomal RNA, 253 nt
Filed under: uncultured bacterium
Lineage: Bacteria
Description: partial 16S ribosomal RNA
Rfam family: Bacterial small subunit ribosomal RNA
Source: RNAcentral